RNAcentral lists this ribosomal RNA (497 nucleotides) under uncultured bacterium. Its description in RNAcentral is "partial 16S ribosomal RNA". It matches the Rfam family "Bacterial small subunit ribosomal RNA", at positions 28 to 507 of the family's 1533-position model. The record is from RNAcentral.
GAUGAACGCUGGCGGCGUGCCUAAUACAUGCAAGUCGAGCGAACAGACGAGGAGCUUGCUCCUCUGACGUUAGCGGCGGACGGGUGAGUAACACGUGGAUAACCUACCUAUAAGACUGGGAUAACUUCGGGAAACCGGAGCUAAUACCGGAUAAUAUAUUGAACCGCAUGGUUCAAUAGUGAAAGACGGUUUUGCUGUCACUUAUAGAUGGAUCCGCGCCGUAUUAGCUAGUUGGUAAGGUAACGGCUUACCAAGGCGACGAUGCGUAGCCGACCUGAGAGGGUGAUCGGCGACACUGGAACUGAGACACGGUCCAGACUCCUACGGGAGGCAGCAGUAGGGAAUCUUCCGCAAUGGGCGAAAGCCUGACGGAGCAACGCCGCGUGAGUGAUGAAGGUCUUCGGAUCGUAAAACUCUGUUAUUAGGGAAGAACAAAUGUGUAAGUAACUAUGCACGUCUUGACGGUACCUAAUCAGAAAGCCACGGCUAACUACGUG